GCAGCCGGAGUCGUCUUCGGGACGCGCCUGCUCUUCGCCUUUCGCUGCAGUCCGUCGAUUUCUUUCUCCAGGAAGAAAAAUGGCAUCCGUUGCAGUUGAUCCACAACCGGUAUGAAUUUUGAGUAGCCUUUGUCUACUUUCUCUCCUUUUGUGUUUUGAGAGAUUAAUAAGCAUACCCUCCCUACUUUGAUUGCAGAGUGUGGUGACUCGGGUGGUCAACCUGCCCUUGGUGAGCUCCACGUAUGACCUCAUGUCCUCAGCCUAUCUCAGUACAAAGGACCAGUAUCCCUACCUGAAGUCUGUGUGUGAGAUGGCAGAGAACGGUGUGAAGACCAUCACCUCCGUGGCCAUGACCAGUGCUCUGCCCAUCAUCCAGAAGCUAGAGCCGCAAAGUGAGUUCUGAUUUUUCAAGAUGCAAGUCAAGGGACUGGUCAGUGGCGAGCCCCUGAGCUCACAGCAGUAACAUCUGGAACUCCUCAGCCCUUCCUGGGGCAUACACUGCCUUUACCUAGAAACUUUCAGGUGACCCUCAUUACCGUAAGAGGACUGUUUCUUUUCUUUUCUUUCCUUUUUUUUUUUUUUUGAGAUGGAGUCUCACUCUAUCACUCAGGCUGGAGUUCAGUGGCGCAGUCUUGGCUCACUGCAACCUCUGCCUGCUGGGUUCAAGUGAUUCUCCUGCCUCAGCCUCCCGAGUAGCUGGGACUACAGGCUCCCACCACCAUGCCCAGCUAAUUUUUGUAUUUUUAGUAGAGACGCGGUUUCACAAUAUUGGCCAGGCUUAACUCCUGACUUUGUGAUCCACCCACCUCUGCCUCCCAAAGUGCUGGGAUUACAGGCGUGAGCCACCGCGCCUGUCCACAGAAGGCCUGUUUCAUAGCUUUGGCAGAUGUUUAUGAUCCUUUAAUUAAAAAUCCCCCAGAGGAUGGGCACGGUGGCCUGCACCUGUAAUCCUAGCACUUUGGGAGGUCUAGAUGGGAGGAUCGCUUGAGGCCUGGAAUUU
Molecule: long non-coding RNA, 1000 nt
Filed under: Homo sapiens (human)
Lineage: Eukaryota; Metazoa; Chordata; Mammalia; Primates; Hominidae
Description: non-protein coding lnc-HAUS6-1:3
Source: RNAcentral